This is a non-coding RNA of Sus scrofa (pig), 11395 nucleotides long. The record is from RefSeq and is a predicted model, not a curated record. Lineage: Eukaryota; Metazoa; Chordata; Mammalia; Artiodactyla; Suidae.
UCCACCACAGCUCACGGCAAUGCUGGAUCCUUAACCCACUGAGCGAGGCCAGGGAUGGAACCCGCAACCUCAUGGUUCCUCGUCGGAUUGGUUUCUGCUGGCCACGAUGGGAAUUCCAUAACCUCUCUAGUUACGACAUAGAAAAGCUUCUUUUUUCAUUGCCUAUAAUAUGAAGUUCCAAAUCACUUAAUAUGACAUAAAAGGUUUUUAAUCAUGUCAUUUACCUAUAAAUCGAUAGAGAAAACCCCCCAGAUCUCACCAGGUCACUUCUUAAACUCUUUCUUGGCUUCAUCCCAAACCUCUAAUCAGGCAUGAUAUCCAAAUCUGAUCGCAUUAUACAAAGUCCCACUUCCUUGCAAGAGGCCUGAAUUUUGUCCUGUACCUUCUCCUUGAAGCCUUAUAAUAUCUCUAGUCACCUGUAUGAUAGGAGCUCAACUCCUUGGCAUAAAAAAGCCCACAGUUUAUUACAUCAUUUCUUUGCCAGCUGCUCUUCUCAAACCCAGACACUUUCCAGACACUUUGCCAUAUCGCUCUCUUGAAAUCUCUGGAUGGCUGCAGUCACAAUUCCGGAGCACAACACAAAAAUGGCAUCCUGUUGUUCUUCCGAAUCGUGUCCAAAGCGUCUCUGCCGUGUGCUGUCAGUUCAAUCUGGGAGCCUCUGUGGGAGACCUGCCCCCCUCUCUGUGACUCUCUGAUCAAGUUCCACCCACAGAGUACAGAGAGGGUGCCCUUGGGCCCAGCCCUGCCUCCCCUGAGCUGUCCCUGUGCCUUCAUUGUCUGGUUCAUCAAAUCCAGACAUCUUCGCGUAAAAUGUGUUUUCCCAACGAAAUCCCCAGGAGCCCGACCUCUCAUCCGUCCUCCUUCAAACCCUUUCCUGGCUAAGCUCCAAAAGCCUCUGCCCAAAGGUGAGACCACGUCCUCCCAGAGGAAAUGCGUGCCACCUUCCCCUCCCACGGAAAAUCCCAUCUCCUUGGCACGUUAUAUAAAAAUCCGUUAUAUUAUCCGUUGCCGUAAAAAUCCACUCGUGGAGCUCUGCUCAAAGGUGUACAUUUGAUCAUGUAACUCUCCGCUUUAAAACUUUUUAAGCUUUCUCCAUCGCCCGUAACAUCAAGUCCCAACGACUCAUCAUAAAAUGCAAUGCUUCACCAUGUCAUUUCUCUUUUCGGAGUGGCCUCUUAAACCGGACCGCCCCCCAAAUCUCGCUCUGACAUUCUCCAAGAAACCCUUUAUUGGCUUAAAUCCAAACUUCUUAGCAUGAUAGGAAAAUUUGAUCUUGUCAUCCCUUAAAAUAAAAUUCACAUUUCCUAGCGGUCUAUAAAAUUGGGUUUUGUCGCUCCAUCUUCAAACCUGACACUGUCUCUUUUUUAAAAACUAAAUUAUUCGUUUAAUGGAAGUGUAGUUGAUUUACAGUAUCGUGUUAGUGUCAGGUAUAUGCCAGAGCGACUCAGUUAUAUAGUAACCACAUAUAUGUAUCAGGUAAAUUAAUGUGUGUGUGUGUAUAUAUAUAUGCAUAUGUAUGUACACCUUACCAGGUCUCUUGAUGGUGAAAUUAUGGAAUAAAAUCCAAAAUCUUAGCAUAAAAUAUGAAUUUUAUUUUAUAAUUUCAUUGCAAACUCUUUAUCCGAUACAAAGUGAAACCUUUGUCACUCUCUUAGAACUUUUUAUUAGCUAAAAUCAAAUUCCUAGGCAUGUGCAAAAAUCUCAUUGUGUCAGAGCCUCAAAAUAAAUCCCACAUUUCUUGGUGCCAUCCCCCUGUUGAUCGCGUAACUCCUCGAAUCAAAGUCUUUGACUUCGGGGUCAAUCACAUCUCCUUGGUAGGCUCUGAAAGUCAGACUUUUGACGCCUCCUCAACACAUAAAAUGCAAUUGUUUUAGCCAGGUACUGAAAUGUGUGACUCCUGCCUUUUCUAUGUACAGUUUCCCAAUGUUUCCUUAUAGAAAGGCCAAUGCUUUGAAAUAUAUUUUAUCCUGUUUUUCCUGCAGACAUGUCUCCCGCAGGCAAAACUCUCACCGUCGCAUUUCUUAAAACCCAUUGGCAAGAAAUCAAAUUCCUUAGCAUGCUUAGAAAAGUUUGAUGCUGUUGUUUUUUAAAACACAAAGUCCAGAUUCCCCCCCUCACCCCCAAAUCUGUUCAUGAAACUCCCGCUUAAAGUCUUUUGAACACAUUUUCAUCACUAACAAAACGUCUCCACCUCUUAGCGUGGCGCCCACGUCUAAGCAUGGUGCCCUUAGGGUAAAGCCCUUCGCAUUUCAUGUCCGUGACCAGAAAUCCAGUGGCCUGAGCAUGAAACGAACACGGGACGGGGUGUUUGUUACAUUGAAACAGCUUCACAUUGCUCUUCAUUUACUCAGGACAUGAUAAAGCCUACAUUUGCACGAAACCCACGUUUCACCACCUGCAGUUCCUAGCUUCAAUUUCUUCUUCUUUAUGCCCGAGAGAUGGGGUUUCUUAUUUCUUGCCCCCCCAACACAUCUUGAUUUUAUUGCCUUUUAAUGUUUUUAAGCUCGUCUCUCUACCUACGAUUCAUUCAUUCAUACGCAUGUCCUGAUUCUUUUUUCCACACCAGGCAUCACGCUGGACCUUCAAGACAAAGACGUGGAGCCAGCGCUUCCCUGUGGAAUAUCCCUGGGGCGAUGAGGCCCACACCCCUCAGUCCUGUGCUGGAGGUGAACUUGGGGUCGGGAGUGGGGGGCAGGGCUACCCCUGGCGAGCAUCUCCUUCGAGGGUCCCCGGGGCUCGGCUGCCUGUGCCUUUGCCAGGACUUUGCAGGUGCCCUGUGCUCCUGGGUCCUGCUCUGGACAACGGCCUGUCAGCUUUCCUUCUGACUCCCGUUCUCCACGGGUCCACCCGCCGCAGCCCCGUGCAGCCCAGAGGCCACCCCUGCCUCUUCUCUGGGCUCUCCGGACGUGUAAACCUCAGACCUACCAGCGCAGCUGGAGACAUGGUGCGGUCUCCAGCCUCCGGAACAUAUCUUGAAGAGAUAGCUGUUGAUUGGGAAAUUCUUCCCUAACCAAAAAACCCAAGCCCAAACCAGAAAACCACAACUAACCCAAAUCCAGGAUUUAGUGCCCCUAGUCUGGGGUCUCUGCGGUGGGCCCUCUCCCCGACAGCCAUAGACACACAACCUCACCACCUUCGGUGCCCCGAGGCUUCCCGGUCGGUCGGGUCAGUUCCUUGCUUUGCCUCUGAGCAAGUGGCCCAUUGGGUUGGGGCUGCCAACGUGCGUCUAUGAAGGGUUGGGUGUUGGGGGAGCAGGGGGGCCCCUUCCUCGGCGAAUACCUCUCCCCGUCAGCUCACUUGUACAGUAAAGGAAAUCUGAUUUUAAAAAUAGAGCUUGGAAGAGGAGAUGAGAGGAUAUUUAGGAGCAGAGCUGAGCCUGGGGCGGGGGGCGGGGUGGAGGAAUUAGGGAAGAGGUGAGGAGAGGGGUGGCGGCCUGCGGCCAAGUUGCUGAGGGGCGGUGAGAAAGGGGAGGUGUGAGCACGGGAGGGGUGGCCCCCAGACACUGGCCGACAGGCCUGGAGUCCCCUGGCUCUCGGGCUGUCAGGUGGGCUAACAUCAGCUGGAGACACCCCCCCCCCCCACCGCCUACCGCCGCCGGCUCGCGCUGCCUCUGGGCCCUGCUCAGAGUCACUUGGAUUUGAGGGUCUUAGGGGCUGAGUGACCUGGAGAUCUGUUCCCUGCAGAGUCUCCACUGCCCCACGAUGGGGGGGGGGCUCUUGGGGACCCUGGGAAGGCCACAGGCUGUUGUGAGUUAUUCUCUUACAUUAAGGUCAGGGUCAAGGUCAAGGUGUGUCCAGGCUGAGGUGGGAGUCCUGCUGGGCUCUCUGGCUGGGCACCGGCAGCGUGGGUCCCUCUCUUCGCCCAGCUCGUUUGUUGGGAGCAGAUUAGGAGGGUGGGGGGGCCUUCUGAGAGUGCUCCCUGAGGGCCCCCUGAGGAGCUCGGGUUGGGUCCCGGGUCCCAGUGGACCAUGGGACCGUCCAGGGCUGCUGGCCUGUCAUAGCUCCAGGUAGGGAGUCGGGGGUCUGGGCCCCUGCCUUUCCACUCAACCCCCUGACCUGUGCCAAGACCCUUGGGCCUUACGGAGGGAGAUGCUUCUCACCUUGACCCAGAACAGCGAGGCCCAGGUACUCUCGUCCCCGCCCCUGGCCUGGCUAGAGGCCCCCGACUGUCCGUCUCCCUGGCCUCAGACAUCACUGGCAACACUGAGUGUCUAGACAGGGGCCACUGGGUUAUGGCAGAGCUGGGGCUGGCCCCUGGGCUUGUCCUCCGAGUCCAGCCCAGGCGGGGUGGGGGCCUCCUGGAGAGGGUGCCCAGCUCCCCGCUUCCCCGGCCAUCGAGGUGAAGGGCAGUGCCCCUGAUUCUGAAGAGAGCGUGCCCCUCCGCUGCUUGACUGGCAGCUCCAGGGGGCGGCUGGAUCACUCUGCCCAGAAUAACCCUGGGAGGGGGAGAGGGCCGCCUGCGGGAGGGGCUGAGCGAGGGGUCACGGAUGGCCAUGUCCUCCUCCUUCGGGCGACCCAAAUCGGCCUGGCCGAUCCGCUGUGCCCGAAGCCGCCCUUGCCCUUCAAGGCAAGUGGGCUGGGAAGGUGCUGCCAGCCCAGGACCUAGGCUGACUGUCCAUGUGACCUUCCCCCGGGUCCUCAGUUUCCCCAGAUCUGCGGGGGGGGUUUGGGCUGUGUCUUCUCUGCCCCUGUAGGUCUGGGGUCCCGAGAAUUGCCCAUGGGGUAACCCUCGGGAGCAGGGGUGAGGGGAGGGGGCGGGCUGAGCAGGUGGGGGCCCUCCUACCCUUUCCACAGUUGGGAGCACAGGCAGGGGGGUUUCUUUGUCCAGGUUUGACCCCCGGGCUGGGCGAGUGAACUCUCUCGGGUCUCUGGCGGGCUCCCUCUGUGCCUGGUGCCAUGGUGGCAGGCCUUUGUCAUGGGGGUUCCUGGGGCAGGAGGCUGGGGCCUUGGUGCAGGGCUGGCGAGGGCUGGAGUGGGGGGCAGAGGCUGGCCUCCGUCUCCCCAUUUCCGUAAAGGAAGGGGCACGCCAAGCCUUUUGUACACCGGAAGGGCUGAAAUCACCUUUGGGAUUCUUGGGAUUAUUAUUUCAGCACACUCGCUCUAAGGGUAAGGUCAGGACUCAGACGGCCUCUUCGCGCGUGGUGCCACCUUUCAUCCUCCCGGUAACCCGGGCGAGGUGAUGAUGCCCUGUCUUUCAAGUGAGAGAACCUGAGCCCAGGGGGUGAAGCCAGUGGCCCAGGAGCUGUAAUUAGCGGGGGCAGUGGUGCUCGGACCCCGGUCAUUGGACGGCCCUGUGACCGGGGCUAGUGAGGGAUGGCGCGUGGAGAGGCAGGGGGCGCGUGUCCUCCAGACGGGGGUCAUCAGCCUCCCUGCAUCACAGGAAGGGUUCCCCAGGGAGUGUCUGCUCUGUGUCAGGCAUGGCCCUGGGCCCGAGGCCCCCAGACUGACGGUGCUCCUUCCAGGGUGGGCUUGCUUCCUGGCUCACGGGGUCAAGUUGAGAAGGCGAGAGCCCCGUUUGGGAAGGAAGAGGCAGAGGCGUCAGUCGAAGCCAGGCUUAGGCUCUCCGCCCUCCACUGGAGGGUGGGGUGGGCGGUGGCCAUCUGGGGACCCCAAGGGACAUCACAUUGUGGCGUCCCUGUGGUCAGCUUUGUGGCCUGGAGGGAGGCCAGAUCAGAGGAAGGGCCUUCUCAGUGUCUGCCCUCCAUCUCCUCGAAAGUCUGCGGCCACUCCCAGCUCCUUUUGGCUAAUUCGGUUGUCGGCAGAGGGACAGGACAGCUGGCCCAGGACCUGCUAAUUAUAGCUGCUCAAGUGUUUGAGGGGGCAUUGAGUCCCCCAUGUCACGGGUUUUCUUGCAGACAGACGAACCCUUAGCCUCUGUUCCUGACACCGGCGCAGCUCCCAGAAUGGCCCAGACGCCCCAGCCCCACCCCAGGCCCCCUGGGAGGUCCGCGCGGGACCUCGCCCCAGGUCUUACCUUUGAUGCGAGUGGUUGGCGGAUCUGGUCCUGUCCCGUCGGCUGGAGCUCCGCUGCUUCCUAGAAAGUGAUUGGAUAAAUGGGGUUCUCUGAGUAUGAAAGCGGCCACCGUCCACUCGCCUCCCUGUCCCGCUUUUCUCUUGGGGCCGCAUGGCGGCCCGUCCCUACCUUUGGGUGCGUCUCAGUAUUUCCUAUGUCCUUGGCUGUCUUCGUUCUGUCACCCUUGUCACACCCAGGGAAGCCGUAACUUCAUUAUCCCCCUUCUGCAGGGGAGGAACCCGGGGCCCAGCGCCCAACCGCAGGCCCCGGGGGGACCAUGUGCCUUCUCUAACGGGGACCGACCAAGGCCGUGUGUCUGGUCAGGCUUGGGGUCUGCGUGUCAGCCCAGCUGGGGUGCACGGUGGCGCUCGUGCCCUGCUUUGCUCUGUGAUGCCCAAGCUGUUGGCAAGUUCUUAGCGGGGCCCCCACCGCGGGCUCCCCUGGGCCCUGAUGGAGGCCCGCACUGGCUACUCCUUUCUCUCAUCACCUCCACCCCCGUCCCGCACGCAGGUGGGGCCUGGGGCAGCGGCUCGGAGAGGUGGGCUGCACCUCAGCCAGGGAACCCGCUGGGUGUCUUCUCUUCUCCCCUCCCAGGUGGCGUGGAGGUGACAUGGCGGCUUUCUCCGGGAAGGAGGAAGACAGAUGCCGGGCCCAGGAGCGAAUGGAAAGCUGAGGCUCACUGCCCUCCCCCCCGGUGGGCAGUGAGUCAGUGGGUUCCCGAGGCCACAGUGGGGUCCCCCAGGAUGGCACAGCUGCCCAGAGGAGUGUGAGGCCGGCCCUCCGAGGCUGACCUUGCUGCAGCCCAGGUGAAUCUGUACCCUAGCUGUCCCUUUGAAAGCCCUUGUCAUCUGUGGAGACUCUGGGCACGAGGGGUAGGCAGGUCAGCAGUGGGUCCCGGCGGUCUUUUCUCGAGUCAACCCUGUAACUUUUAUUGGCAUGCCAGGAUUUAUAUCGCCUUCUGGAGCAGUGAGUGUCUUCACGGGGAAUUACCCGGGCCUGGAGGCGGGUGCCAGUCACCUGGGUGCUGUAUUUUAUUUGUAUUUAUCAUAAAAAUCUUUUGUAUCUGAAAAACUAUGACAGACACCUCACAGUAUCCACCAGACCCACAUCCUGUCCGGAAUAAAACACCGCGUAAUAAAUAGCAGAGCCUCGUGUGCAGGCAGGGUGAUCAAAGAGCCGUUCAGGCUGGCAGAGGACCGGCUAACCAACCUCUGCUCCCAUUGCUUCUGCCCAAAGUCACGGUUGAAAAUAGGUGUCUAGAAGUGCUAGAAGGUCCUGCCCGUGUUAGCUUGGCGGGGUGGGGGUAGGGGGAGAUGCUAAUCGGCUAACCCAUCUGUUGAUCUGUGCCUAUGGAGUGAGGGCAGAACCGGAUGAGGCUUCAGGCCACUUUGGGCUUAAAGUGGGUUUUGUUUUGUGUUCUCGGGAUCGUGGAGCCUUGAUGUCUUCACGUGCGGAAAAGGGUCUUCCUUGCUGCUCCCUUAACGCCUUGCCGUUCAGGGAUCCUGACGCCUGUGACAGCUGGAGGGGGACCUGGGGACCUGAAGCUUAGUGGUGGGCAGGGGCUGCGGUGCCUCGGGGAGAGAGGGGAUUCUGAUGGGAGGGCGGGGUGCUGCCCUGGUCACGAAGGGGGCCAGGCAGGGACCUGCAAGGCUGCUCCCCAUGUUCAGAGGGUUGAUGGGCUGUGACCACACCCCCGGGUGGUUAGAACUGGGGAGGAAACCGGGCAGCUGCGGGCUCCAGCCUGGAAUUGAGCCAUCUGAGGAAGAGGCAAAGCUUGGCUCAUGCCCCUCCCCCCCACCUGGCACCCCUCCCCAGAGGCUUCCGUGUCCCCUCUCCGGGGACUCUCAUGUCACAUUUCUCCCCAAGUCCUCAUUCCAGUUAGCUAAUCCCGGAGGAUACGGGCCAAGGCAUUCGCUUUGGGGCCUUUUAAAGACCCAAAAGGAAAGUCUUCCUGGAUGGGUGCCUUGCAGACACCCGCCUGGCAGCUCUGGAGGGAUCUGAGGCCUGUGGUGGUGAAAUCCCAGCCAGUGGGCACGCACCUGCUGGCCUCAUGUCACUGACAUCCCACCAGGAGGCUAGGGGUCGGGGCGGGGGGCCUCCAGCUUUAGAAUGUAAAAAAUUAAAAAAAAGAAUGAACUUGGGGACAAAAUAAAUCCCUCAUGUCUGCAGAACUUGUUUGGGGGGGACUGUGCCCACUCCAAAACGCUCUUCCUUUUGCAUUUGUGGAAAAAAAAAAAAAAGAAGACUAAAAGCUAAAAAAAGAAAAAAACAAAACCCCAAACACACCAACCCAAACAAAACCAAGCCCCACACACAAAAUGUUUAUUUUAAUUAUGAAAGAAAUGCAUUGAUAAUUAACACACUCAUUAGCAAAUCAAACGCUGCAGAUAAAAGCUAAAACCAUCGUCUGGUCGGCUGUCAAUCCCAGCUCCCCCCUCCCCACCAUUUUAACUGCUGUUAUCAGAGUCAGGUGUCUGGUUCCAGAUUUUUUUUUUUCUGUGCAUUUGCAUAUGUAUCUAAACAGACCUCUCGCAUAUAGGAUUCUGUUUGCUUUUGACAUAACCGUCUCACGGUGUACCUGUCUCUUUGCACAGCUUGGUUUUCUUCGCUCAAGGAUCUGCUUGGGGAUCAUAGGGACCGACCCGGUUCCUUAGAGGGACACCUUAGUAGCCUGUAACCCGCACCCACCGGAGUUUAGUUAACCUCCUCGCUGCUGUCCUGAAAGUCCUGGGUCCUUAGCCGUGGGGCUGGCUUGUGGAGGCAGGUGGCUCCUCAGCUCCUGUGUCGCUUGGCUCCAUUUCGCCUAACUGAGAACUGCCUCUUGUUCACCUGGGCAGCUUCAGAGGACCUGGCGGUGCGCUCUGCGGCUCGGGUUGGCUUGCUCACAUCAGUGUCCAGAUUCUUUCCCGCACUUUCGAGGGGCCCUGAGAUUACAGAAGAUGAGAAGUUUUGGAGAAGUUAAGGACUUGUCCAAGACUGCCCAGGAAGCAGGACCCAGGACUCCAGCCCAGGUUUGUCUGAGUCUUCUGCGGCGUGGAGAGGCGGGAGGGUGGAUGGAUGGAUGCCUGCCCCAGGGUGCGCAGUGGAUAGAGAGAUGGCUGGCUGGCUGGCGAGGGGGUGAAGGAAUCAAGAGCAGAGGGUGGGCGGAUGGGUGAAGGCGAGAGAAUAGUCAGGUUCUCACCAAGACCGGAGGCUCACUUGAUUUGUGAAGAGUGGUUGCCUCUGAGUGGAGCUGCUGGGGAAGCUCCUGCCUCGGAGUGUGCUCAGUGGCUCAGGUGGCUCUGGCACAACAGGUGGGCUGACAGCUCGUAGGGACCGAGUCCCAGGGGUCAGAGCUGCUCAGUGGCUGCUCUCAGCCCAGCUGCGUUCGCACUGCCCCGAGACCCAGCAGCCAGCCUCCUUUCCACCGACGCUCCUGGAUAACUGAGCCCUAAGGCCAACCCCAUGCUCAGGCUCUUCCUAGUCCCUCGGCAUAGCUUUGUGUCCUCUAAGUCAUUCCAGCCACCUUCCAUGAGAGCAGUUGCCAUCUUCAAUGAAGACAAAAGGAAACGGAGGUUUAGAAGUCGUCGGUGCCUUGUCCCAAAUCAUGUAGGGAGCAGAUGCAGAGCUGGGACUUGAACCCUCGUCUGCUCUUCUUCCAAAGCCAUACCCUCUCCCCAUUUUCCUUUCUCUGUGACUGUGCCUGAAAACAUUGGCACUCCUUGGGGUUCACCCAUGUCAGACUCACCCUCCUGGCCCCCCAGGGAGCCUGCCUUCAUAUCCCCCAGGCUUUAGAUUUAUGUCUCAAGUAACAUCUUCUCUAGUUGGUCCUAUUUGUAAUUAUCACACAUGCAGGGGCCAAACCCAUCACCGAUAUCCCGCAGGCUAAUGAUCAAGUUAUAAGUUGCUGGUGGCUCUGAUGACUAAGGGAAGCAGAUGUAGACCUGAAGCCCGAGAGGGCACAAGGCAAGAGGGGCUCGGGGAGAGGGCCGAGGGCAGACUGGCCGGCCUCCCUGAAGACCUGGCUCCAGUCCCGCAGACGCGUUCAGAUAAUCUGCUGAUGGACGAAGCCCUGUCCCACACGUGGCAGAUGCUCAGCUUGCAACCCCAGCUCUGCCAUUUGCUAGUUUUAUGAGUUCAGACAAAGUAUUCAACCCCCGCGCCUCACGUUCCUUCGUCAUAGUUUGGGGAUACCAGGAGUUCAUUCAUGGGUGCUUGAAGAUGGCAUGAGUCAGAUAUUGAAAGUGGUUCAAGCAAUGCUUCCCAUGUAAUGAGGACACAAUACGUAUUUCAUUACAAUUAAAAUGAUAAUUGCUCUGACUGAUCUCAUGGAGAUGGGGAGUUCUCUGUACCAAAGGGACGUGCUCCAUCAUCUGAAAGGUUAAGCCCGGGAAUAGGGGACAUUCCCCGGAAGGAAUUUUCUUGGAGCUUGAAGAGCGUGAGCGCGUUGGAUGGGAGCUGAGAAGAGGCUGAGCAGGUGAAGGGCAAGAUGAAGAAUGAACGUUCCCUUGGCUCAACUUCACGGCUCUAGAAGCAGCGGGCCAGUUUCCCCAGGUCCCACAGACACCCCACCAAACUUCUUUCCCUACAUGUCUUUUUGGGGGAGGGGGAGAGGCAUAGAAAACAGCCACACUUGACAUGCUUCUUGUUUGGUUUUUUGAAGGCGGCCCAUUGGAAUGGAGGGUUGUUCCAGGAGAGUCCCGCACCCACGUGGGACAUGAGGAUUGGUGACCUUCUCCCAUCCCUGGACCUUUGCCCCUGGAGCCUAGGUGGGUGUGGCUGCAUGUGGGGGUGGCACAGGGCAGGGGUGGUGGUGGUGGGGGGUGAAUGCAUUUGGAUGCCCUCACAGCCAGAUGGCAGGAGAUGGCUUUAGCGUCUGGGCUGACUUGCUGGGCCACAUUGGGCUACAAUCCCAGCCUGACUGGAUCCCAGAAUCUCUGCAGGUUCCGUGGGCGCUGUCACUUCUGCAUCUCUUCCAAGAGAGGCCGUUUACGUAUUCAUCCUGGAUUCUGUGCCUCCCGGGGGGUGCCCUAUGCUCCUCUUUGUCCACGUGUGCAUUCAUGGCGCACGUUGUAGGGGGCAUCAGAGAGCAAGACCUGCUGUGAACAUGAGGUGCCGGGGCCAAGUGGGUACAAGACACCAGGGCCAGACUUCCCACAUAUGCCCCCUAGCUCGGCAUCUUCCUAGCUGUGUGGCUACUUAAGUAACUAAGAAGUCGCUUGACUUCUUUGAGGCUCCAUUCCCUCAUAUGUAAGAUGGGGCUAAAAUAUCACCUUUUCCCUGAGGCUUUCUUCUUCUUGUUUUCUAUGCCUGUUUCCCACUGUAUCUGUCUCCAAGUUUUUUUGUUUUUGCCUUUUUAGGGCCGCACCCGUGGCAUAUGGACGUUCCCAGGCUAGGAGCUACU